This 73-nucleotide transfer RNA is filed under the name Chloroflexota bacterium. RNAcentral's name for it is "Chloroflexi bacterium (anaerobic digester metagenome) tRNA-Val". It matches the Rfam family "tRNA". From Rfam's summary of the family: Transfer RNA (tRNA) molecules are approximately 80 nucleotides in length. Their secondary structure includes four short double-helical elements and three loops (D, anti-codon, and T loops). The record is from RNAcentral. Lineage: Bacteria; Bacillati; Chloroflexota.
GGGCGAAUAGCUCAGUUGGGAGAGCACUUCCCUUACAAGGAAGGGGUCACGGGUUCGAGUCCUGUUUCGCCCA